Aquila chrysaetos chrysaetos is the source of this 798-nucleotide long non-coding RNA. RefSeq lists it as uncharacterized. The record is from RefSeq and is a predicted model, not a curated record. The transcript has 2 exons. Lineage: Eukaryota; Metazoa; Chordata; Aves; Accipitriformes; Accipitridae.
UCCAUGCUCUGGUCCUUCCUGUGCAUUGCUGGAGAAGAUUGUGUUUGAAGGCAGUUUGAAUUUAACCACUUAUGCAAGUUGAAAGCAGUUUGAGUCUUUAAUACCUAACAUCAGUGCUCCACCAGUGGGACUUAUUCCUUCACUGCAAUAUGCUGUUUAUACGCUGGCAUUAAGGCAUCCUGCUAUUACCUUCCUGCGUGCUAUUACCAGUCUCCUCUGAUGCCUCCAUUCCAGCUUGCACAUCCUAGUUUUGGACUUUGCCGCUGCCGUCUGUCAGAAGCACACACAGAUUUGUUCUCAGCGUGGUUCCCGAGAUUUGUGAGCACCGGUUGAGCUGCACCUCUGCGAGGACCUCUCCUUGCUGUUUCUUACCUGCCCUUGUCAGCAUCUGAGCUUCAUCUUGGGAGCUCUGGAUAUUUCUGGUUUAGAGGAUCUCUCCUUUCCUUGUAGACUCUCUCUACUCCAGAAACAUCUAGUUCUUAAUUGAGUCUCAACCCUUCCUUCCUACAUCACUUUUUCAACUGUGUAUCGAGGCACCAUCUCUCUGUUUGGUCAUGUAUGUGUUAAAAUUUAUUAAAAACCAUGCACAGUCAUAGUAGUGACGAGGUCAAUACAGUGAGAACAAAUCCUCAAGAGAUGGAUGAGUUGCCAGCUUGGUCGGUUAGGACGAAAUGUAUUUUUAAUGCUGUCAGAUGCAAAGUUCCGCGUAUUGGGGGAGGAUUAGGGUGGUAUCGACCUUUGGAAGGUGGAGUCUCUGGAAAGGAUGCAGACUCACACCCAGGUGAGCAGGAGCAGGAG